Schistosoma rodhaini is the source of this 45-nucleotide non-coding RNA. Lineage: Eukaryota; Metazoa; Platyhelminthes; Trematoda; Strigeidida; Schistosomatidae. The record is from Rfam.
AUCCAGUUGACGAGUCCCAAAUAGGAUGAAACGCGCAUCCUGGAU